CGUUCGGAAUAAUCAAGCGCCGCUGCGAACGUUUUCCAUUCCCCUCUCCCUCCAGCGCCCAAAUCGAUCCCCACCCGCUGCCGUAAGCAGUCCUCCCUGCGGGACAUGGGAGAGAGCGACCAAGCGUCAGCGCACGAGGAGGUCAUACGCCGGCGACGCGGCGGGCUGGCUCUACCCUCGCCGGAGUCGCGGCGCGUCGGAGACGAGGCAGGCGGCGUCGGGUAGCAGCUCUUCCGGGACCCAACAUCGGGACGCGGCGGGCCCGCGACGAGGCGGGCUGGCUCUGCCCUUGCCUGAGUCGCAGCGCGGCGGGGACGAGGCGUGCUUGCUGUGCCCUCGCUGGAGUCGCGACACGACGGAGACGAGGCGGGCGGCGUCGGGGAGGAGCUCUUCCGGGACCCAACAUCGGGACGCGGGCCGGCGACGAGGCCGGCUGAUCUGUCCUCGCCGGAGUCGCGAUGCGACGGAGAUGAGGCGAGCGGCGGCGGGGAGAAGCUCCAUCGGUGGUGCAGGGGCCGGAUCUGGCAGAAAAUCAGGCCGAAGGCCGCCGACGCGAUGGGAGAAGGGGCGGGGAAGAGGCGGAGGCUCGCCAGACGAGCUCGGCGUCAGCACCAGCACGCUCGUCGGGGAGUGCGUCGAGCAGCAGCAGGCUCGAUGGAGAAGGGCGGCAUGCAGGGGAGAGGCGGAGGCUCACCACCAGCACGCUCGCCGGGGAGUUCGGCAAGCAGCAGCCCACCACCAGCAGGCUCGCUGGGAUUCAUUCACCUCUUCUGCACUGUGAGCUACACCAAUCAAUUUUCACUCAAACGGAGCACAGAACUUGUAAAACCGAUGGCAAUUUAUGGUGUGCUUCCCAUGGCAACUUAAGUUUCGAUGUGUGCAAAUUAUGAUAUGUUUUGCAUGGCAAAAAUAUUGAGGCACUUUGCCAUGUUGUUUUUCAUAUAA
Molecule: long non-coding RNA, 945 nt
Organism: Triticum aestivum (bread wheat)
Lineage: Eukaryota; Viridiplantae; Streptophyta; Magnoliopsida; Poales; Poaceae
Exons: 2
Source: RefSeq, a predicted model, not a curated record